GGAUAACCUGCCCUUGGGUCCGGCAUAACCCCGGGAAACUGGGGAUAAUACCGGAUAACGCACAUAUGCUGGAAUGCUUUAUGCGUAAAAUGGAUUCGUCUGCCCAAGGAUGGGUCUGCGGCCUAUCAGGUGGUAGUGGGUGUAAUGUACCUACUAGCCAACAACGGGUACGGGUUGUGAGAGCAAGAGCCCGGAGAUGGAUUCUGAGACAUGAAUCCAGGCCCUACGGGGCGCAGCAGGCGCGAAAACUUUACAAUGCGGGAAACCGUGAUAAGGGGACACCGAGUGCCAGCAUCAUAUGCUGGCUGUCCGGGUGUGUAAAAUACACCUGUCAGCAAGGGCCGGGCAAGACCGGUGCCAGCCGCCGCGGUAAUACCGGCGGCUCGAGUGGUGGCCGAUAUUAUUGAGUCUAAAGGGUCCGUAGCCGGCUUUGCAAGUCUCUCGGGAAAUCCAGCGGCUUAACCGUUGGUCGUCCGGGGGGUACUACAUUGCUUGGGACUGGGAGAGGUAGGAGGUACUCAGGGGGUAGGAGUGAAAUCCUGUAAUCCUCCGGGGACCACCGGUGGCGAANGCGUNCUACCAGAACAGGUCCGACGGUGANGGGACGAAAGCUNGGGGCACGAACCGGAUUAGAUACCCCGGGUAGUNCCAACCGUAAACGAUGCUCGCUAGGUGUCANGCAUGGCGCCGACCGUGUCUNGUGCCCCAAGGGAAACCGUGAAACGAGCCCCCUGGGGAAUUCCGGCCNCAAGGCUGAAACUUAA
Molecule: ribosomal RNA, 764 nt
Filed under: uncultured archaeon
Lineage: Archaea
Description: bacterial SSU rRNA
Rfam family: Archaeal small subunit ribosomal RNA
Source: RNAcentral